ACGCUGGCGGCGUGCCUAAUUCAUGCAAGUCGAGCGAAUGGAUUAAGAGCUUGCUCUUAUGAAGUUAGCGGCGGACGGGUGAGUAACACGUGGGUAACCUGCCCAUAAGACUGGGAUAACUCCGGGAAACCGGGGCUAAUACCGGAUAACAUUUUGAACUGCAUGGUUCGAAAUUGAAAGGCGGCUUCGGCUGUCACUUAUGGAUGGACCCGCGUCGCAUUAGCUAGUUGGUGAGGUAACGGCUCACCAAGGCAACGAUGCGUAGCCGACCUGAGAGGGUGAUCGGCCACACUGGGACUGAGACACGGCCCAGACUCCUACGGGAGGCAGCAGUAGGGAAUCUUCCGCAAUGGACGAAAGUCUGACGGAGCAACGCCGCGUGAGUGAUGAAGGCUUUCGGGUCGUAAAACUCUGUUGUUAGGGAAGAACAAGUGCUAGUUGAAUAAGCUGGCACCUUGACGGUACCUAACCAGAAAGCCACGGCUAACUACGUGCCAGCAGCCGCGGUAAUACGUAGGUGGCAAGCGUUAUCCGGAAUUAUUGGGCGUAAAGCGCGCGCAGGUGGUUCUUAAGUCUGAUGUGAAAGCCCACGCUCAACCGUGGAGGGUCAUUGGAACUGGGAGACUUGAGUGCAGAAGAGAAAGUGGAUUCCAUGUGUAGCGGAGAAAUGCGUAGAGAUAU
This 681-nucleotide ribosomal RNA is filed under the name Bacillus thuringiensis. RNAcentral's name for it is "bacterial SSU rRNA". It matches the Rfam family "Bacterial small subunit ribosomal RNA", at positions 33 to 699 of the family's 1533-position model. Lineage: Bacteria; Bacillati; Bacillota; Bacilli; Caryophanales; Bacillaceae. The record is from RNAcentral.